This 398-nucleotide ribosomal RNA is filed under the name Aracamby sp. n. Bra. RNAcentral's name for it is "partial 12S ribosomal RNA". The record is from RNAcentral. Lineage: Eukaryota; Metazoa; Arthropoda; Insecta; Orthoptera; Phalangopsidae.
UAUUAUAAUAAAUGUGAAUUUAUGUACUUGAGUAGUAAUAGGUAAGGUCUUGAAACUCAAAGAAUUUGGCGGUGUUUUAGUCCCUUCAGAGGAAUCUGUCCUAUAAUUGAUAAUACACGAUUUUUCUUUACUCUUUUUUGUUUAUCAGUUUGUAUACCGCCGUCAUAAGAUUAUCUUAUGGAGAGUUUAAAAUUUCUUUAAUUAAUAGUAAAGUUUAUGUCAGGUCAAGGUGCAGUUUAUGGAGGAGAAGAGAUGGAUUACAAUAAUAAUAUUUAUUACGGAUGAAAUGUUUAAAUAAUUCUDGAAGGKGGAUUUGAUUGUAAAUUUAUUAAUAUAUUAAAUUGAUUAGGGCUCUAAAAUGKGUACACAUCGCCCGUCGCUCUCGUAUUUAAUAUGAG